RNAcentral lists this long non-coding RNA (1451 nucleotides) under Cyanistes caeruleus (blue tit). RNAcentral's name for it is "lncRNA (ENSCCEG00000013140.1)". The record is from RNAcentral. Lineage: Eukaryota; Metazoa; Chordata; Aves; Passeriformes; Paridae.
CACAAAGUUCCCAAAAGGGCUCUAUGCAAGGAGGCUACUGGGCCUGGGCUGUAGGAGCGCUAGCUGAAAGCUAAUCCACGCUAAAUUUUGCUGCAGUGCUGAAGAUUUUUGAAAAGCUUCACAGAUGGUUGAGUUGCAGCUUCAACACACAAGAUCUCUUAGUAGGCAAAAGAGUAUCCUCCUCUGUUUCUCAUCAGCCUUUUUAAAGCAGGAAGAAGAUCAAGAAAAGAACAGAAGGACCUGUUGAGAGUCAUCUUUCAGCUCCCAGAGACAAUUAUAACACUGAAUGUUAUAAAGCUAAGGCUGUCAACAUACAGAUGGCAAAAACUGUUGGUUCAGCAGGAAAAGAAUGGUUGUCUUUGCAUCCAGUUCUAUUUCUUCAAUUGAAAAAAAGUCUGUGGAAGAAGUAUAGGAAGAAAAAUGAAGCUUGUAAGAUGUAUCAAUAUGUUGUUUCAAAAAACCCAUUAAAGUCUGUAAAACGGUACCACCCAGGUCUGAUGAAGACUCAGCAGGACAGAGCUUCUGUUUCCUUGCUGUGAGUUGAUCACACAUCCACAUCACAUAGCACAAAUCAGUCAGACUAAUAUUGGAGAGCAGAGUGGCUCAAGAAUGGAUCCUGGAUUUUCAAAAGAUGCUUCAUCUCCUCAGACCUGACUUGGGACCCACCACAAAGUCUCCCUAGCACUUCAGAAAAUGCACCACCUGUAAUAAGAUGUGCAACAGCCAAACAUCUUUAUUGCUGUCUCUUGGUUACAAUUAGAAAGUCUUUGUUAGUUCUUAUCACUUAGUAAAACUUUUAAUAGGUACAAAAUUUAAUAUUUUGGUCAGAAAUGAAGAUGACUAAUUAUAUUUUGUUAUUUGCAUUUUCCCUGAGGUAUCACUAUUUCCUGCUUCCUUACCAAACCGUAAUAUAAAACUACUUCUACUAGUUAUGUAAUUUGUUAUUAAUUUAAAUAAUACACAAACUAUAUUUUGGUUUCUCUGGGGGAGAAAGCAUCAGCAUCCUCUCUGACAUAGUGGAAAAAACCAAAACUUCAAAAAUUUAAAUUUUAAAUGUGUUCACAGAAAAUCAGCAUUAGUGUACAAGUUAGGCUAGUUUUUACAAGUUUGGUGAAAAUGUUUCAGAUAUAAAGUUCUGUGAGGAGGUGGAAGGUGCUACCCUUAUGUCCAGUGGAGCAGCCAACUCCAAGACAGACCCACCACUGGCCAAGGCCAAGCCAAUCAGUGGUGGUAGCACUUCUGAGAUAAGGUGUUUAAGAAGGGGGAAACAUACAUCAAAAUGUUGAAGAGGGAAACACUGGGAUUGACCCCAAAUGCAAUUUUUUCUGCUUCCCGCUUGCCCCAGGAGCCCAAAAUCAAUCUUCCAAGCCAGGGCACUGCUGAGGAAUUGCAGCAUUGUGCAUCAUACUCCAGCCCUCCUCUGGUUUGUGCACACAGGUAAAAUUAAGUGA